UACAGAGGGUGCAAGCGUUGUUCGGAAUUAUUGGGCGUAAAGCGCGUGUAGGCGGCUUUGCCAGUCGGGUGUGAAAGCCCUCGGCUCAACCGAGGAAGUGCGCCCGAAACUGCAGAGCUUGAGUACCGGAGAGGAUGGCGGAAUUCCCCAAGUAGAGGUGAAAUUCGUAGAUAUGGGGAGGAACACCGGUGGCGAAGGCGGCCAUCUGGACGGAUACUGACGCUGAGACGCGAAAGCGUGGGGAGCAAACAGG
This 253-nucleotide ribosomal RNA is filed under the name uncultured bacterium. Its description in RNAcentral is "partial 16S ribosomal RNA". It matches the Rfam family "Bacterial small subunit ribosomal RNA", at positions 524 to 776 of the family's 1533-position model. The record is from RNAcentral.